This 69-nucleotide transfer RNA is filed under the name Callimenellus fumidus. RNAcentral's name for it is "tRNA-Glu". Lineage: Eukaryota; Metazoa; Arthropoda; Insecta; Orthoptera; Tettigoniidae. The record is from RNAcentral.
AUUUAUAUAGUUUAAUUCAUAAAACAUUACAUUUUCAUUGUAAAAAUAGUUUAUCACCACUUAUAAAUU